Capsicum annuum is the source of this 12203-nucleotide long non-coding RNA. RefSeq lists it as uncharacterized. The record is from RefSeq and is a predicted model, not a curated record. NCBI's taxonomy places the organism in Eukaryota, Viridiplantae, Streptophyta, Magnoliopsida, Solanales, Solanaceae. The transcript has 3 exons.
AAAAGAAAAUAUUAUUUUGACACAAAGCACAAAGCAGUACGUCUUUCUUCACCAUUCUUAAGAAAGAAUACUUUUCUCCUAAGAGAAACAAAGAAAAAAAAUGAGUAUUCUUAAAAAAUCUUCUCCUAAAAAAAUUGCUCAAUCAAGAUGGAGCAACGGAGUGACACGUCAUACCGGAUUAGCGGCGCAUUUGACAGAAUUAGCGACGCGUAUGAUCGGAGAUAAUUUUCUGAAAGAUUUAAGGGAAGUCUGAGUACGUGAAUUCAAAGAUAAGGAGCAUGUUUGAACUUAAAUAUGGAGAGCGCACGACUCUUGAUUAAAAUUGAAGAAACGCGUUGCUAGCUUGGCACUAGAGGGUCUCAGGAAGUAUCUUUAAUCCUUGUUUUAUUUGGUUUAUUGCUUUAGGAAUAAUGCAUAAUUUUAAGUGUGGAGUGAAGUAUCUUUCAAUAUUUGUGAAGGAUAAAGUAUGUUAUAUGUUUUACUUAGUUAUUUAUUUAUUUUUAGCUGAAAAUAGAUUUUUUUUUUUAGAAAGUCCAAAAAAUACAAAAAAAAAAAUUAUUUUUAUUCUUUAUAUUAAAAUAGUUUUUUAUUAUGUUUUUUUGUAUAUAUUUAGUAGAGCAUACUUUGUCCACCCUUGAUUUUCUUUUCGGUUAUUUUUUGAAAAAGGGGCUCUUUGAACAAUAUUACAUUUUUGGAAAUAAUUUUUUUAUUUGUAUGUUUUUUUCUUUGUAGGAGUAUUUUUUUUUUGUAGAGAAGAAAUGAUUUUUUAAUUGAUACUAGCAAUUUAGACCUAAUCUUGAGCAGAAUGUUUUAGUAAGUUUCAGUAUAAAUAAAAUAAUAAACUUUUUGAUAGUUAGGCUCAUGGUUAUGACAUUGUAUGUAUACCUUAUUCUUAUUUUUAUAGUUUGCUAUGACCCUAUUUCUCAUAGAAGUGAAAUUGAUCCAUCUUGAUGAUACUUGUGAUAUGUAUGGUGAAGAUUUUUUGCAUAUAUUCCAUGUUUUGCAUCUUAGUCUAGAACUUUUCUUGCAUGUCAUUGAAGUGAAAUAAAAAGUAUUUUUUUUUUUUUUGAAUAUGAUAAUAGGUGUUCUUUGAUAUGUCUUAUAAAUUUUAGCGUUUUAAGAUAUUAUAUCACUAGUUAGUCCGUUUGGGCAUGUAGCCUAUUUAUUUGUAGUCAUAUUUUUAUUUUGAUCCAUUUUUUUAUUUCUUAUUUUUUGCACCCUGCUUCCUUAAGUACUAUAGCAUAAAAUAUGUUGAAAGUGUUAAACCAAAGAGAAAAGUAGAUGGUUAAGUGUAAAAGGGGACCAAUGAUAGCUACAAAGUGAUGAAAAGUGGAAAAAAGAUCUUAAGGAAAAAAUGAUUGAAAUAUCUUUGAUAAGAUGAGUAUUACUUGUGCAAAUAAUUGAUGAAAAUAGGAAUGAAGAAAAAAGUGACGAAAAUAAUGGUUGAUGAAGUUUGAAAAGUCCAAAGUGCUUAGUGAAGUAUAAGUCACUAUUAUAUAAUCAUCCAACCCGUCCCUUAGCCUACAUUACAACCCGUUAAAGUCCUUUUUAUUUCUAUUAGAGCAUGUUUAAUCAGUGGAGAUGUACAUAAAGGGGAAGCCUAUGGUACUUUGUGCAUACAUAUAAGUUUUUGGUAAGUGUAAGAGUUGUUCUUUGAAGAUAAGUCCUUAAUGUAUAUUCAAUUUUUUAUUUGAGUGUGUGAAAUAUUUCUUCUUGUGAAGGCACUUGUUUCAUGAAAGAUAAGGGAUAUUAUUAGCUUUCUCUCACAAGAAUGGGUAACUGAACUUAAAUUUGAUAACUUAGAGUGCAUCUUUGAGGUUAUGAGGUUAGAUGUUUGUUGUAUGGUUGUAUUUCUUGAAUAAUGAUUAAAAAGUGUACUUGAUAUUGUGAAUUGUUAUAUGGUCUAAUUAUUUGUAUAAAUCAAAGUGGUGGAAUCUCUAGAUUUGAUUAAUUGAGAUGUGUUUUAAUGCUUGCUCGAGGACUAACAAGAGUAUAAGUGUGCAGUGUGUUCAUGUAAGGCCAAAAUUACAUAUAUUUAGUCAAUUUUUACCUCAUAUUUAGUAGUUUUUUUUUUUUUUUUGAACAUUGAUUUUAUGGAUUAUGCUUAAUAGUAUAUUUUUAUUUAUAGAAUUAAAUUAGUGUGAAGAUGAAGAAAUUUAGAGCAAACAUAGAAUUAAAAUGAAGAAAUUAUAUAAGAGAAUCAAGUAGGCAGCUUAAUAGAUUAAAUUUACUAAAAUAUUGGAAUGCCAAAUUUAUGUUAGGCGACUGGGCAUUUCCACGUGGCAACAUCUGGACUCAAUAGAAAUGUUAAGGCGGUUAUGUGUUUUUUGAUGAAAUCCAAUCUAAUUCGGAUUUACUUUUUAUUUCUUAGUUGAUAAUUAUUAGUACGUUGAAACUUUAAAGAAGUAACUUGUAAACUUUCAUUUAGUGAACUCUUGGAGCUGUUGUGGAGGCCAAGGAAAAAUUUCUUUAUUUUUUUUUCUCCAUUUUUAUUAGUUUUUCUUUAAUAAUUCAAAACUCUAUGUUUACUCUACUCACUUUAUAAGUUCAUAAUUACGAUUUUUUCUACGAAUUCUAAUUGUGAUUUUGAAGUCAAGAGUAGCUAAAUCCCACAAUUAAGAUUGUGGUAACCAUGAUGAAUUAACAAAAUAGGGUUAAGUUCAAAGUCAUUCUAGAUUGAUGUUCUUGCAUGUAUUGGUAUUUCCUUCAGUUUGUUGCUUUCUUGAUGGUGGUUAAUGUUAGGAAUUCACCUUUAUUCAACACUUGCUCGAGAGAGAGGUAGAGAUUAGAAAAAAAAUAACAACAGUAAUUUCAAGCUACCAACUUUCAUCUAAUUAACUUGAGCCGUAACUGGGAUAGUUAAUAUGGGAUCACAAAAGAAGGAUUAGUAAUGUGAUGCUCUGAGUCCAAGAGGAGAUGAGUGAAAUUCAUCUAAACCAAGGUCGAGAAAUUGUAGGGUGAUACACAUCUUGUUAGAAUUUGCAUGCAAAGCAUAAGAAUAGAUUGCUAGCACGAACAACCUAUGUAAUUAUGAAGUCAUGGGGAACACAGUCCUAGUUCAUCAUUCUCAUUAAUUUUUUCAACAUAAACUAGUCUUUGUUUGCUUGUUACUUCAAAUUAAAAAUUAUUAACUUGUUCUUUUUAAUCCCCUCUUUCAAAAAUAGUUAAUAAAUAGUCUAAAUAAACAAUAUUGACCUAGGUCCUAAUCAUAUUCCUCAUGGGAUCGACCUCAACCUAGUUGGGUUCUAUAUUUAUUUGAUGACCAUUUUAUAAUUCAUUUUGAGGUAUAAUUUGAGCGACAUCAGUCAGCUCUUGGGUCACCACUCAGCUCAGUUUUCAUCCUUCUUUCUCUGUUUUUGCUUUGAAACCUGUUUUUCAGUACAGCAAACAUAAAAACAUAAUUUAUCUAUCAUAAAGAUCUAAGUUCCUACAUAAUUUCCUUGAUAUAGGCAUAUAAUGUGUCAUUUGACCAUGAAACAUCAACAACCUCACUUAGAAUGUUUACAUGUCCUCAGGCAACUAAAAUAUACUAAACAAGAACGAUGCUUAACUAAGAGAAAUCUAAGGCCCCUACUACAGUCAAUUUACUAUUCAGUUUAAACUUUCAACCCCAUCCUUUGCACGAAUUCAAAACCAUUGUGUAUAUAUAGCACAAUGUCAUGACAUCAAAGAAAUCAAGUGAUGGCAAUAGAUUAGCAAAAAACAACCAAAAAUGUAUGCAAAUACAUUACUUGAACAAAUAAGCCGCUAACAAUCCAACCCACGUACCCUUACAGCAAAAAAGUCCCCUACUCUCAAAGUAUAAUAAUUAAUAUCGAUGUAGGGACUUUAUCAAAUUACUCAUGCUCACAAAGAAGUUCAAACAGUUUGCAUGAAAUACCACAGGCUUGCCCUUAUUUUCUACGUCUUAGUUUAUCGGAAAAUUGGACUCGGAUCACUAUAGGACUUUCCUUGUUUUGUAAUGUAUGUUUGGGGGCAGCUAUAGUGCAUAUAUGUGAUAGUUACUCAACCCUCCUUGAUGCUACACUUAUAUUUUUGGCUCCACUAUUCUACCACAUUUUUAUUCUCCUUUAUUUAUUUUCAGACUGGGUGUGGGUUUCUUCAUGCUCUCUAUUUUUAAUUUCUUUUCUCUUAUCUUUUUUUUCCUUUUCUUUCAAUUUUUUCUACCUCACUCAACCCUACAUUCUUUUCUUUUCUCAACUUCUUCUUCAUACUCAUCUUCAACUAUGCACCUUAAUGAUAGCCACUUUUAACUUUGGAGAUUUUCCUGAGUUGAGGUGUAUAAUAACUAAGGAGGUACCAGGGCCAAAAUAGGUUCAUUGUAAUUAAAACGAGAAGGUGAAUGGAUAAAACAAGAAAAUAAGUCACUUUUGGCUAAAAUUUGGGACCAAGAGAUACUUAUUUUCAUUUGUUUGGUCUUUUAGGAUAAAAGUGAAAUUAUUCAAACAUGGUAUAUGAUCUUAUUCCAAUCCACUAUCCUACAUCCUAGGCAAGACUAAUUGGACAUGUUCUGAAUUACACAAACAAAGCGAACUAAGUAAACACCUCUCACACACAUUGCAUAAGUUUACAUUAUUAACUACCACCUAUUCAAUUCAUGCAAUGCUAAUCUAAGGUUAUUUUGUCACUAAUAUUAAUGCCAUCACAAGAUUCAACAAUGGUCACAGUUUCAUAACUUCACAACAUAUAGAUCAUAACAAAAAUAGAAAGGGUAUCAUUUUAUUCAUCAUAAAAAAUCAAAAUGUUCGACUUCACCAAGGUUCCUUAUUUUUCUCAUAAUUAAAAAAAAACAUAACAUAUAUGAUGAAUAAUACAAUAUACUAAAAAUGUCAUCUCUAAAAUGAUAACACAAUUUGAGGAAAUGAGACACAAUAACAAAAACCCUAAGUGGACAUCUAGACCCAUAAGAAGCCCAACCCCCAUUAAAAAACUAUGUACUAUCCGCAAUGUAUUAGGCCAAAGUAAAUCAAAGGAGUUAGGAACAUAAUUGUGGCACCAUUGGUGCAUAGGUAAGAUGUCAAUCACACUAAGAAAAUCAAAAUAAAUGCAGAAAUAAUAAAACACCUUGGUUUGCCUCUCAAGCAAUGCUUGAUUUAACAUUGUAAUACGCCUUGGGGUUUUUGAUUACUCAGGAUUCAUCAAGAUAGCCAUUUGUUUGGUUUUUAGAGUCAUCAAAAGUAUUUAUUACCAUAACCAUCCUCAUGUUUGUUAGCUGUUUCAUAGUUUUGCAAAUAUUGAAUGUGACUUCCUCAUUAUUUAACUUGAACUUUAGCUCACCUUUUUCCAUAUCCACUAACGCUCUACCAAUGUCCAAAAAUAGUCUCCCUAAAAUUACAGGUAUUUCAAAACCAACCUUGCAACCCAAGAUCACAAAGUUGACAAAAUGGUAAAGUUGUCUACCUUGACAAAAACAUCAAACGAUAUGCCCACAGGCUUCUUCACCAUAUGAUCUAUCAUUAAUAACCACAUUGUUGUUGGUUUGGGAGGUUGUAAAACCAGCUGUUUGAGCACUUCCAAUGGCAUCAAUUUAAUGUUAUCUCCUAGGCCACAUAAAGCCUUGGCAAAGUUAUAUGACCCAAUUAUGUAAGAGAUUGUGAAGGCAUCGAGGUCGCCAUUUUUGUUGCCUAAGAGAAUGAGAUACAAUUGCACUAUAAUAAUGCAAGCCACUAGUAGGUUCAUAACUAACAGUUCUAUUAUUAGUAAUCAAUUCCUAGAUAAACUUAUCAUAACCAGGCAUCAACUCUAGAGAUUCAAUAAGAGGGAUGUUCACAGUUAGCUAUUUUAGUAUAGAAAUAAAAUUUUUAUAUUUUCCAUUUUAAUCUGUAGGAAAAAGGCGAAAGAGGUUAGACGAUGGACUUCAAUGUUAGUUUAAUGUCCUUACCCUUUGUCUUAGCAGUCUUAGCUUUCUUCUAUAUAACUAGAGUCUUCUGAGAGGCCUCAUUAUUCAUUACCAAUUUUUUAUUUCAUCCUCAAUGCUUAUGGAAUCCUUCCCCAUUUUAUCAAUACAGUCAUAGGUGGAUUAAUAGUUUCUUUACCUCUUCAAGUAGCGAUAUCUAGACAAUGACUAUUUUUCUUAGGAUUUUGCACAGUAUUGCUAGGAAGAGUGAUAGGUGGAUACUGGUUUAAUAUGGUAGACAUCUAUCCUAACUUCUACUUAAGAUGCUUAAUAGCAGUUGCAUGUGACUCUACCUUUUGUCUCAAUCCUAAAAUAUUUGCCUUAAUUUUUUUAAGGCAACUAUCUUGGCUCUCUGAACCCUUCACAAGAGUUGCAAGCACUGCUUCUAUUCUCAAACUCGUAGACUCAACAUCUUAGUUUCUUUGUGGAACAUAAAGUCCACUCUUAUCCUUGUAGUCAUCUUUUUUUCUUCAGUCACCAUCACGCUCUAUACUCUUAUCCCUGUACCUAUGUUUAUAGUAGUUCCAAUCUUGAUUUUCCUGCCUUGAGUUCUAAGUAUAUUGAUUAGACCUUUGGCCCUUGACUCGAUAACCCAUCAUCUCUCUAUCAAAACUUAGCUUCUUCUCAGAAUUUAACUUAUCAUGUCUUAAAUCCUUACCUCGAGCACCCACUACAUUUACCUUUUCUACGCUAAUUACUGUAAAUUAUUUCAUAAAUAGGCCAAUAUCAAUUCUCAAUUUUGAUCCUCUUAAGCCAUUGACUCAUCUAUUUCUCUCUGCUCACUAUAAGCACCAAUAGAAUAAGUAUAGGCUAAUCUAUCCACUGUUCAAGUAUGCAACCUUCAGUUGUUUUUAAUGAUUGAGCCUAAGAUUUUCAAAGCAUGCUACCAGCGAAAACUCAUAAAUGCUUCUUCUAUAAUAGUAUCAGCCACAACCAUAGCAUUAGUAUUCAAGGCUUCAUAGAAUAUCUCAAGCAAGUUUUUCCUUGUGAUUCUGUGGUUUGGAAUAUUCUAAUGCUUCUUCUUAAACCUCAACUACACCUCAUAUAAUUCCCCUAAAUACAACUGCCAGAAAUUAUAGAUCUUAUCCUUCAAUUGCAACAUUCUAGAAGGCAGGAAAAAUUGGUCCAAGAACUAUCCUCAACUCACUAAAAGUGGUGAUAGAUCUAUAAAGCAUCUCUCCUAACCAUAAAGUUGCCUCUCCUAUUAGAGAGAAUGGGAACAACCUCAGGCAUAUAAAUUCCUGACUAACUCUAGGCAAAUUAUACAAAGUGUAAAUCCCAUCAAAGUUUAUUAGGUGUAUAUCUUCAUCAUCAGUAGGAAGACAAGAAAACACCCCUUUUAAGUUUAAUAACUGGAUUAUUACACUCAUGUUAUCAAAUUUAGUCCCUUAGAGAACUUAUGAAGGAAUGAUUAUACCUGUUUCUACUAUUUAACAAAUCUGAGAUCCUAAUCUGGAUCAUCAUACACUGGUAGAUAUUUCUAGAUGUGUAGUGGACCUCUAUUUCUUCUCAUUCUAUCCCUUUUAAGUAUGGCUUGAUUCUCUUUCUUAUAAUGAUUGUCUAGACUAUUUCCUUGAUUUACAUACCUAUCUGAUAUUGUAAACCUUUCCAUAAUGGCUAUAGGUCUUUUAUAACUUGUUAAAACUGUCGAUUUAGUUAUCAGAUAGUUCAUUUAGGUUAGAAUUAUUUUUCUAUUUUAGAGCUUUUAUUCUUUAGGACAUGGUCUCAGACCAAAACACCUAUUUUAUGACCUUGGAUAAAAAUUAUGAUAGUGCCAUCAACUUUGAAUUAUUAAUUUAGGCUAGAAGGACCUUUGGUUCAGGUCAAUAUGCUUCCAAACACGUUUUAGGAUAUUGGGUGGAUUAUAUAAAAAAUGGAACUAUAGGUGUGGGCUCAAUAUUUAGUCAAAAUGAUCUCAUAUGAAAUUUUUGAUGGUUCCAUUGAGUAUAAAAUGUCGAAUUGGGUAUGGUGGCAUAGUUUGUUUAUGUGCAUGGGAUUCUGAACCAAUCUCAAGCACCUAAUCGGAGUUUGUUUUUGAAAUUAGCAAAAUCUGGUACCUGGUAGUUGAUAUGACUAUAAUAGCACUCAUAGAGUUGCUUUAGUGGCCAAUGGUUUAGCAUCCAUGAGACACUUAAGUAGCCUUGGCCUAUUGGAUAAGUCUUAUUUUUGCGGUAAAGGGCUCGCUUAAGCGAACCCUACUUUAGUGUAGAGGUGGCCUCUUUAGCGGUACUCGUAUAGAGUAGCCAGACCACUUUAGCAGCAGGUACUUUAGCACUAAGGUGAAUGCUUAAGCAGCACCUAGAGUCUGUUUAAUCCUCUUUCCCCACCUGAUUUCCCAUUACUUCUUUAACCACUUUCACACUAAUUUGAGAGCUCAAAGAGAGGAAAGAGUGGGAAAUCAUCCAUUGAAGCUAGGGUAAACUAGCCUAACAAUACUUGGUCAUUUCAAAUUAAUUUUUUCAUCAAUUUAUAUCCUAUUACAAGGGAAUUUCUUAGAAAUUAGUCCCUUAAAUUCCUAAACAUUAAGGGUUGAUUUGGGCUCCGAUUCAUGAACUAUUGGCGCUCAAAUUUUUAUCAUACGUUCUUUAUCCUUUGAGGGACCUUGUGAUGGAUCCAAUUUGGAUUGUAUUUAUGGGCCCCAAGUGCUCGUUCUUACCUAAAUUUUGGCCUAAUUUUUUAUAAAUUAAUAUAAGGCUUGUUUUACUCAUAUUGACUUGUAGAUUACGUUUUAGAUAGUAUGGUGGCAUUCAAAUAUUAGAGUACAAGAGGAUGAUUUAUGAGUGAUUCGAGGACUUGUGGUUCAGUAGCGAGGUAGGCAUAUACCUACUCUUUUUUAUGAGAUAGUGUAUUAUAUAUGUUUCAUGCUAGAUAGGGAUGGUGCAAUGUGAUUAUGGGUAGAACACCAUGACUUAACCUAAAUUAUGAGUUCAAGCACUAGAAGUAUAAAUCGGCCCUUAAUAUGAAAUACUUAUUAUACUUCUAAAAUCCUAUUACCCUAGGUUACUAGAAUAUUGGAUAUAGUUGAGACUUAUAACACCUUUAGUACAAGGUUUACUACUUAACUCGAUGUAUAAGGCUAGUUUCCCAAAUUAUUAUAUGGUUAUCCCGGAUAUAUAUAUAUAUAUAUUAUUGGGCCUAAGGCCAUGAUUAUGAUAUUAGUUGGAUUGGGGGGGAUGAUUUAUCCUUGUAAAGGACGUGGUUUAGUCUAUUGACAUUUAGAUACUUGUAGUUGUAUUUCUUGGAUACUAGUGAUGGCCUUGCAUAGAAUAGGUAGAUUCAUUCUCACUAAAUGGUAUGAUUCCAACUAAAAACAUAGUUUUACUACAGUUUUUUCAAAAAAGGGAAUUAUACCCAAUUUUUACUUUUUAAGCUGAUUCAUUCAUAACGGGAGUCGUACCACCUUAAUAAGUAAUUCACCGACUUAUGACAUUAAAAAUGAUGUUUUAGAUAUUUGGCCGGGAUAGAUUUUUGUCUACGCUUUUAUUACUUCUAUUUACUUUGGUCGAGAGAUAUUCUGAUCUUUUCUACACUUUUAUGAUUAUUUAGCCUAAAAAUUGAUUCCAACAGUGGAUUUAUGAACUUACACUCUUUUAGACAUGAUUUCUGUCUGUGCAUUUAUUAUAUAUAUAUAUAUAUAUAUAUAUACAUAUACCAGGUUGAUGUAUAUGAGUACUUUUGAACCCUCUAGAGGCCCCUUCAUCUGUGAUCUUUCAGGCUAGAGAAGAGAGGUCAUCGUAGAUCCUUCCUUUAUGAGCUGUUAAGCUGGAGGAGGUGUAUACAAUGGGUCACUCUAUAGAACUAGGAUCGGUUAUGGUAUCAUGUAUUUACUCAUAUUCAUUUGCCUAUAACCAGCAUAUUAUUUGAUUCCUAUAUCUGUCAGCCUUAUAGGGGUUGCAUAGGUAUGGGUUAUGAGUGUUAUUUGUUGUGUGUUAUAUGCUGAUUAAGCAUUUUGUAUUACUAGGCUUGGUUUAGGUAUUAUUUUUUUGGACUAGCUGGUUACUUUAUUAUCAUUAAUAUGGUUAGUUCAUGGCAAGUUGAUUACGGAUUUAUACUAACAUUUGGGGUAUGAUUCUGAUUCCUUUCUCUUAUGAUUGUUUUAUUACGGAUAAUUAUCUCAUGUUUUGACUUUUGAACUAGGGACCCUUCAUUAUCCUUGCACUAGUUUCCUACUUGAUUAGGAUGGGUUGGGAUACUAGAUUGAAUACCUUAGGUUGUACCUCUGAGUUAGUUUAUAUAUAUAUGUAUAUAUUACCUCAUAUCCCUCCAUUCCUUUAUUUUCAUGUUGUAUAUCCACCCCUUGGCCUUUUAUACUACUAUAUAUUCCUCUUCUACCUUUUAUUAUAUAUUGGCUAGUGAUAUAAGGAAUAGUGCAGAGGUAUUUGAGUAUGGAUAGAAUUAGAUAAUUCAUCCUUAUUAUCUCAUUAUUCUAAUUAUGUUAGUUUCUAGACAUUUGGUUGUACUUUACAUUCCUACUUGCAUGUUAUUUAUAUAUUUGCAUUAUCUUUGAAACUCAGUAGGCAGCUGCCUACUUUGUACCAUGUGUUGGGUGGUAUACUACAAUUCUACAGACUACAUAUCAUAGUACGGGUUCUCACUAUUGUUGUGUGCCUCGUAUGGAGUAGCUAUGGAUUGGAAAUUUUGGGUAAGCUCAUAGCAUUCAGAGUAUUACUAUUCUACGUAUUAUAGAUCAAACUGGUCUCGAUGUUGUAUUCUAAGAUGGUUUAUAUCAUUAUAUUUAUUUAGUACUUCAUUUUGUAUUCAAGUUAUAUUAGAAGCUCUUGUACUGAUUCCACUAGGUUUUGGGGUUGUGUUAUAUAUAUUAAUAUUUUAUCAUAAUUUUUUUGCAUUUUUCCUAUCGUUUCUCUUGGCAGUCAGUUACUAGUAGUUUUAGACUACAUGUUGGCUUACCUAUUGGUGAGUUAUAGUAGGUGCCAUCAUGACCUAAGAAAUUAGGCCGUGAUAAAUUUGUAUUAGAGCCAGGUUUAUUGAUGUGUUGGUACAAGAGGUAAGAGUCUAGUAGAGUCCUAUAAAUUAAUGCAAAGACAUCUGUAACCUAUCUUUGGAAGGAAUAUGGCAUUCUUAGGAAAUUUUGUUCUUGACUCCUUAUCGUAUGUUUGUAUUUCUAUGAGCCUCAAGUACAUUCUUUGACUAUACUUUGUCCCAGAUGGAUAAUACGAGGUUAUUGAUAGAUGACGAUUGAAAUUUGGCCCAUAUUUCUUAAGCUUCAAUUCAGCAGUAAACUAGGGAGUUAGGGGUGGAUGUUAAAGAUCUUCAGCAUCGGUUGGAGAAUUUAGGGCCAACCCAGGAUCCAGUAGGGCUCAUGAUUACUUCAACCUUUCAAGAUUCAGUAUUAGGGAUUCCAAGAUUUUUUAUGAGUAACUCAUAGUCAGAGAUAACUUCUGGUUCAUGGAGAAGUUCCUAGUCCUGGGUUAGGGUUUUCGGUGUUCAGUAGAGUUCUUUAUCAAUUUUAGGGUAUAAAAUUGGGUUUCUUGAGAGGGCUAGGCAUAUUUCUAUGUUAUAUCUUUAGAGUGGAAGAUGGUGUGUGGUUUUAUUAGGGGACUAGCCUUGCCACUCUGUUUGGUCAGAGCAUUUAAUAGUAGUUGGGUCUACUUUCUCUCAAGUUAUUGACCAUGCGAUGGCCACAUAGUGAGCAUAUAUUGAGACUUAUAGAGUUGGCAAUAAGAGGUGAUGAGUGGCAAAUUUACCACCCAUUUUCACUUAACAUGUGUUCAUAUUACAAUGAUUAUAAGUAAGACAAAUUUGUGAUUAACUGCACUAAUUUCCACAUUUUGCAGGAAUAUAGGUCAUGAUAUGGAAAGAUAUGGAUUUGAGCGAAAAGGAUUAGAAAUGAGAAAAGAGGUGCAGCUAGAAGACCUGAAGUAGAAACAAUCCUCGACUACCGUGAACACAGUCAGAGGACCUCUAUCUCGAUCAGUGAAGCUAGGUCAAAGUACUGCAAUUAGAAGGUUCUGAUAGCGGUCACGGUAGCUACGAUCAUGGAUAAGCUCUCGGAUUGCGGCCUAGAAAAAAUACAGCCUAGGGUCAGAAAUGUAAAUGCACAAAGCUUUUCCUAAAUUCCCUUAAGAGGCUAAAACCUAUCUCAUUGAAAGGGAUCCCAAUUUUUGUGGAACUUUUCCACUAUCUUGUUUCCGAUUUAAAGAGAACAUUUUUGUUGUACAAAUUUAGGGUGAAGAAUAUAUUAGAGUAGCUUCCAAGUGGAGUACUGGCAAUUUUCUUUGAUGAUUUUUUGAACGUAAUAUUUUGAUUUGCAUUCUCUUUAUCUUUAAAUAAAUCAAAUUGAUGGAGA